AAAACAUCGCCUCUUGCAACGCAACCAAGUAUAAGAGGUCCAGCCUGCCCAGUGACUACAAGUUUAACGGCCGCGGUAUUUUGACCGUGCAAAGGUAGCGCAAUCACUUGUCUUUUAAAUGGAGACCUGUAUGAAUGGCUAAACGAGGGCUUAACUGUCUCCCUUUUCAAGUCAGUGAAAUUGAUCUAUCCGUGCAGAAGCGGGUAUAAUAAUACAAGACGAGAAGACCCUUUGGAGCUUAAGGUACAAAACUCAACCGCGUUAAACAACUCAAUAAAAAGCAAAAACCUUGCGGAACAUGAAAUUUUACCUUCGGUUGGGGCGACCACGGAGGAAAAAGAAGCCUCCAAGUGGACUGGGAUACCUCCUAAAACCAAGAGAGACACCUCUAAGCCACAGAAUAUCUGACCAAACAUGAUCCGGCCACCAAGACCGAUCAACGAACCAAGUUACCCUAGGGAUAACAGCGCAAUCCUCUCCCAGAGUCCAUAUCGACGAGAGGGUUUACGACCUCGAUGUUGGAUCAGGACAUCCUAAUGGUGCAGCCGCUAUUAAGGGUUCGUUUGUUCAACGAUUAAAGUCCUACGUGA
This 590-nucleotide ribosomal RNA is filed under the name Catlocarpio siamensis (giant barb). RNAcentral describes it as "partial 16S ribosomal RNA". It matches the Rfam family "Bacterial large subunit ribosomal RNA", at positions 1810 to 2603 of the family's 2925-position model. Lineage: Eukaryota; Metazoa; Chordata; Actinopteri; Cypriniformes; Cyprinidae. The record is from RNAcentral.